AUGCCCCCCCGGACUCUUGAUGAGCACAUCUUGAGCAUCGAGGCUCGCCUUCGGCCGGCUCACCGGAUGCUGCGCCGGCUUCAGCGCGUCGGUGCCCAGGCGAUUUCCGCCCUUUGGCCGGAUAUGCAGGCUCCGCGCACCCCCAGCCUGACGGCCAACUGGUUGGAGGUCACGGCUGGUCGCCUCGAGGCCUGGAAGGGCUCUUCGGCCCGGGCUGGAGCGCGCCGGGCCUUGGAGUUCGUCAAGGCAUGGUACCCGGGGCUGGAUUUAGACCGGUUGGCCAUGCUUCGAUCGGAGGCCCAGCCAGAGAUGGCCGCUGUAGAAGACGCCCUCGUCAAGCGUGCUGCGGCGAUCGCCGAGUACACUGACACGAGCAUCUUCGUCCCCGAGCGGUCUGAAGACGGCGAGGAGGUACCGCCGGAGUGGUUUGGGAUGAACCCAGACUACGGCGAAGACUUGGUGGAGGUGAUUGGCUCCAGUGUCGAGGAGGAGGACGAGGCGGAGGAUGAGGGCGAGGCGGAGGCACCAGAAGACGGAGCAGACGGCCAGCCUCAGCCCGACCGCGCCUCCAGCAACGAGCCACGUGCGACCGACCCGACUGCUGCUGGAGGCGAUCAAGCCGAGACUAGCCGGCUGACCGCCCCGACGCCUGAUGCUGGCGCCUCCUCCGACCCCCCGAAUCCGUCUUCCGCCUCCUAA
This 699-nucleotide ribosomal RNA is filed under the name Triticum aestivum (bread wheat). RNAcentral's name for it is "partial small subunit ribosomal RNA". The record is from RNAcentral. Lineage: Eukaryota; Viridiplantae; Streptophyta; Magnoliopsida; Poales; Poaceae.